GGAGGCAUGGCUCAGGGGUAGAUCAUCUGCCUAGUAAGCAAAAGGCCCUGAGUUCAAACCCCAGUACUGCCC
Molecule: transfer RNA, 72 nt
Filed under: Dipodomys ordii (Ord's kangaroo rat)
Lineage: Eukaryota; Metazoa; Chordata; Mammalia; Rodentia; Heteromyidae
Rfam family: tRNA
About the family: Transfer RNA (tRNA) molecules are approximately 80 nucleotides in length.
Source: Rfam by way of RNAcentral